CUGGAUCAUUCGAAACACAUGUAUAUAGGAGAUCUCCAGUUUAUCAAUCUUGCUUUGUCUUCAUAAUAGUAUUCUUUUUGUCUUGAUAGGUUCUCCUUCAAUAGUUCAAAUAAUCAUGGGGAUUUUAUAGAAAUAAACAGACAAGAAUCAUGGAGAGUGAGAUCAGAAUGGCUUUUGAAGAGUACUCACACUCAUGUGACCCAUUUAAGUACUAAACAGAUCAUGGCCAGAUAUGAAGAGGAAAUGGAUCUCAGUUUUGGUUGCCUUGGAUUUCAUUAGCCUGUCCACAUGCCCUUGCUGCUAAUUUUGCAAAAACAAAGAGCAACCCUUGCAUUCUUCUGCUCAUUGUGGCAUUAUUUCUCUUUGUGUGAGCAUCACUACAGCAUCUAGCCAAACAAUUGCUUCUAGGAUCUGGGUGGGUGCUCAGUGAAAGAGCUCAAAGCCCAUGUCAUCAUCAGAUUCUUCUGAUAGAAAAAGGUGCACCUCCCUCCAACCCCAGGAAGCCAGCUUACUGCUCACUAGCAGAUCAUGGUCCUCAAUGCUUUUACUGCUGAACUUGUGGAUGACCUUGAGAUGCUCCUCAUCUACCUCGAUUCCAAGGCUCUGUCUAGGAUCUUCUUCAGGUCCUUGGCUUUGGGGAAGUCAUUGCUGCCAAGGACAGCCAAAAGGUGUCACACACAUACAGAGAAAAUAUAUGGCAUCUCUGGGUUCAAGGUCAGAAAUUCCAGACAAAUCAUCUACUCAUCUCUGUGGUGACUGUACAGGUUCCAAAUAAGUAGCAAAGGAGUUGCCAGACAUGCUGAGGGCUUGAAAAUCCAUAGGAUUUGGAAUCCAACUAAUUGUUUGAUCACUGCUGUUAAGGUUGGGUAAGACAUACUCAUUUACUGAUUAUUUACAGUGGAGGAAAAAAUAGUGUGAGGAAAGCAGAGGAAAGGGGAAUGAUAGAGAGGAGAUGAGCUGUUAGGGAUCCAUUGCUGUCAUUCCUUUUAAAAAACUAUGGGCCUCAGAACUUGGCUUCAUGGGUACCAAAUAUGUCUAGGAUUUAAUUGUGUUGCCUAGGACAGACUAUAAAAAUACUGUGAUUACAACUUCAAGAAAACAUUACCACUAGGAUCCUUGGGACAAAAAGAAGUGCCUUUCAGGGACCUACAUAUCCAAAGAGUUGAAAUAUACUGAGGAUAUCUAAAACCAAAGUCACACUGCCCUUUCCCUAUCCUCUUACCUCAGUACUAAUUCCCAGUCCUUAUUCAUAUAUUAUCACCCAUACCUGACAACAUUAAAAGGUAGCUAGGUGGUACAGUUGCUAAAGAGUUGGGUGUGAAGUCAGGAAAAUAUGAGUUUGGAAUCUGUCUCUCAUGAUUUGACUUCUAGCUUUCUAAGCCUCAGUUUCCCCAUCUAUAAAUGGAAAUAAUAAUAGUACUGGGUUCACACAGUUGUGAGAAUUAAAUGAAAUAAUACCUGAAAGAUACUUUGCAAACCUAAAUUACAUUACCUUAAAUUACCUAAAUUACCUUAAAACACUUGCUAUUAUAAAUAAUACACAUUCAUUUACAUAAUCCCUAUGUUCUAACAUAAUUUUCUCUAUUCAUAUGUUCUAUGAUUAACUUACCUAUAUAAUAUAUCUGUUGUUACAACAACUCCAGCAAAACCUUUUGGGUGUCCAACAUGACAGAUUUUACCAUGACUAUAUAGCAAAUAAG
Molecule: long non-coding RNA, 1700 nt
Filed under: Monodelphis domestica (gray short-tailed opossum)
Lineage: Eukaryota; Metazoa; Chordata; Mammalia; Didelphimorphia; Didelphidae
Description: lncRNA (ENSMODG00000039864.1)
Source: RNAcentral